GACAGAGGGGGCAAGCGUUGCUCGGAAUUACUGGGCGUAAAGGGCGCGUAGGCGGGAUGGCAAGUCGGUCGUGAAAUCCCUCGGCUCAACUGAGGGUCGUCGAUCGAUACUGCCGUUCUUGAGGAUUGCAGAGGAGACUGGAAUUCCCGGUGUAGCGGUGAAAUGUGUAGAGAUCGGGAGGAACACCGGUGGCGAAGGCGGGUCUCUGGGCAAUUCCUGACGCUGAGGCGCGAAAGCGUGGGGAGCAAACGGG
Molecule: ribosomal RNA, 253 nt
Filed under: uncultured bacterium
Lineage: Bacteria
Description: partial 16S ribosomal RNA
Rfam family: Bacterial small subunit ribosomal RNA
Source: RNAcentral